UACGUAGGGGGCAAGCGUUGUCCGGAUUUAUUGGGCGUAAAGAGCGUGUAGGCGGCCAGACAGGUCUGCUGUGAAAACUCGAGGCUCAACCUCGAGACGCCGGUGGAAACCGUCUGGCUAGAGUCCGGAAGAGGAGAGUGGAAUUCCUGGUGUAGCGGUGAAAUGCGCAGAUAUCAGGAAGAACACCCGUGGCUAAGGCGGCUCUCUAGUACGGUACUGACGCUGAGACACGAAAGCGUGGGUAGCAAACAGG
RNAcentral lists this ribosomal RNA (253 nucleotides) under uncultured bacterium. Its description in RNAcentral is "partial 16S ribosomal RNA". It matches the Rfam family "Bacterial small subunit ribosomal RNA", at positions 524 to 776 of the family's 1533-position model. The record is from RNAcentral.